Hyaena hyaena (striped hyena) is the source of this 357-nucleotide long non-coding RNA. RefSeq lists it as uncharacterized. Lineage: Eukaryota; Metazoa; Chordata; Mammalia; Carnivora; Hyaenidae. The record is from RefSeq and is a predicted model, not a curated record. The transcript is spliced from 3 exons.
GUUUGGCCUUGUGUUCAUGGCUGCACGAAAGCCCACGGCCACGUCUACCCAGCAGGCUUAUGCCGAAAGAGGCACCAGGCUGAUGUUGCUGGAGUCAAAUGUACACGUUCCCGCAAUGGCAGGUGUUUCGUGUACCAAUCGCUAACUAUCCCUUGGCCUUGGCUGCCGUCUGCUCAUUGGCCAAAAUGCCUGAAACUCUGCCCAGGUUGCAGACUUCCAUCCUCACCUGCCUGUGACUCCUGGUCUUGAAGGCAUCCUCAGAGCCAGCUGCUACUACCCUUCAGGGCAAGGGUCCAGUUCUUGCCAAUAUGUAUACUUUUUGUGUAUUUCCUAAGAGGAGAGUGACCUGUGGUAUGG